Dermacentor andersoni is the source of this 2833-nucleotide long non-coding RNA. RefSeq lists it as uncharacterized. NCBI's taxonomy places the organism in Eukaryota, Metazoa, Arthropoda, Arachnida, Ixodida, Ixodidae. The record is from RefSeq and is a predicted model, not a curated record.
GGGCAGAUAUAUGUAGCUCACUGUACACGACACAGGGCAAAGGAAAUCAGUGUUCAGCAACUAUGUUAAAUGCCAUGUACGUAAAUUUUACAACGCUACUCGUUCGAAGCGCGCACAGGUGCAUAUUGAAGAAAAGUUUCCAGGGUAGAUAAUUUAGUUCGUAAUUUACACUAAUUUUGCUCUAACCACGAGACAUAAUAAUUUGAAUAUACUGCACGGAAAAACCUAGAGCGAAUUAAAUUGUGUGUCAGCUUCGUGUGUAUACAUAUAGUCUUUCCUAUGCAUUAGGUUUUUUGCGUAAUGCAUUAACAGUUGACAGCCUAUCUUAUGAUGUGUACUCUGUUUACAUUACAGUUGUUUAUUAGUUCACUCGUUUGUUUUGCGACUGAUGAAAUGCCGGCAUAUAUAUAUUUUCAACAUUUGACAUAACCCUGUAUGCCUUGCAGGGACAACCCAGCACGUGCAUUUCUCAGCACCCAGUGAACUGCCAAAAGUGACUCAAACACAGGCCACCAGUGGAGCUCGGCUGUACCACUGCAGUGCUGCGGAAAUUGCCUUCACCAGCGGCUUUGCAACAGCUGUUUCGCAGCGUGUCGGAGACAAUGCCUACGAAAUUAUUGGCCCUGAUCAUGAGAGCCCUCAAGGGGCAAACAACAUCUCUGUUGCAGAAGUGAGCCCGAUACCACUUGGAAGUUACCAUGACAGAUGACACGGCAGCAAUAGAUACAGAGACUGCCAUGUCUACUGCAGCUGCAACAGUGUACGAGGCAAGCAGCAGCGCGUCAGCAUCAGCAGCAGUGUCAGAAGGAACCCCACCAGGCCUGGUAGAGCAACAUGUGUGCUAUCACUGACUUUUUUUUGUAGUGGAUACAACUCAUUUGCUCAACAUACAAAAGCUUUUCACCACGACUGUGAGCCAGUGUUAUUGUGCAGCAAGUGCAAGACUAAGUUAGGUGUUAUAACACAGUACAAGCAUCACUUUAAUAUAUGCAAAUGCAAACAUAUUACAGUUGUUGUCCUCCCAGCCAGCCCACAUAGUGACAACAAUGUGGAACACAUGGUGGGACACACCUCUCCCCCAUUACAAGAUAGUAGAGACUGUCAGUGUUGUUGCUAGAUUGACUGGUCUUUGUAGGCAACUAGAAGGACAACACAGGUGUCAUAAGAUUGUUGUUGAUGUUGUUGUUGAAGAGGUAAAAAAGAAGUUUGAUGCAGGUGAAGUGCCAACUGAUAUUGAGCAAAUCAAAAGCAACCACCUGAGAAAGCAACACUAUCGAAAUUUGGGUAUCUAUGUGCUGCCAACUCUGGUAAGAAUGGCAUAGGACAGAAGUGUGAUGAAAAUCACACAGACACUGCUGUUGCAUCACUGGCCACAGUGAGCAGCGACUUGUAGGGCAAGAGAGUCAACUGAAACUAACAUUAUGAUAUAGUGUCAUGCUCCCAUGUGACCACUUUUCAAGUUAUUUUGCAAGGUACAGCUCAACCUCCAGAAACAAGACUGCAACUUGUCUGUAAAAAAGCUUUCACAAAAAAUUAUUCAUAACACUAUUAACAUAGCAGUAUCUUUUUUUUUGUGUCGGUUCGAGGUUCCCGGCUGUCCAUUAAUGCAAAAAUUGAGGAAAAAAAGAACAUGUGUCAUACUUACACCUUUUUAACAAGUACGAGGGGGACAGAACUUUUCUAGUCAUGCAUCUUCAUCAUACUAUCAAGUUUUUAAAUGCCUUUUAUAUAUUAUUACCAGUUAUAUCUGAGUGCAUUGUAUGCAUGUAGCAGGUGUAAAAUCAGGUCAGUUGGAUCAGAUGCCUUAUCUGCAAGCGAGCCCUAUAUUCAAGAAAUUUGAAUUAAAAUAGUUACGUUAGAGACGCAGUCUUUCAGCACUUUGUUGCCUGUGGUUUAAGCAUUGCUCAAUACUUUUGUGGGUGGCAAUUUCAACCGGCACAGCACUGCGCUUUGCCACAGUCACAUUUGUCUUCAAAGCGGUGUUUACCAUUUGUGUUGAUCUGUUUGUGUAUGCAUAGAGCAUGUUUUUAAUUUAUAUUUUUCUGUAUUCUUGUGCUUGCACUAAGCUUGUGUAAGGCAGUUACAAAAUGUGCGUCACUAUAACGAACUGUUCUGUUGAGCUUACACUUGCAAAUAAUCGUGUUCAGAUGGCCGCACUUCUAUGCGGGUGCACCGCUAGCUUUGUGUAUGUUCUCAUGUUUGUAUAAAGCUUAUAUAAGCUAGUUAGAAAAUGUAUGUCACUAAGCAUUGUGAUAUUCUUUAAAGAACUGCUUGGUUGGUUUUACACUUGUGAAUUAGUAUUGAGGCGGUGGUAUUCCCAUGUAUGCCCACUGCUAGCUUUCUGUGUCCUCACGUGUUUGUAUUAAGUUUCUACAAGGGAGUUACAGCAUGUACGUCACUAAGCGCUGUGAUAUUUUUUAAAGAACUGCUUUGUUGGUUUUACACCUGUGAGUAAUAGUACUCGGGUGGCACUAGUCAUGUGUAGGUACACAGGGACCAUUUGUAUACAUUAUGCUCAUGUAAAGCAGUUACAAAGUGUAUGUCACUAAUUACUGUGAUAUUUGUUGAAUUGCUGUGAUGGUUUUACACAUGUGAAUAAUAGUGGUCAGGACACAGUACUUGCGGUGUAUAGUUGAAUUUAUACACUGCCAAGACAUGGGCUGUAUACGUACCAAAAGAAAUGUGUCAUUAUAUUGUUGUGAUUAUUACUGUUUGGAUUUUAUUAAACUGUAAUAAAAUUGUUUCUUGUAUCUAUUGAGGUAUGGCAAUUUGUCAUGCAACCAAACUGAGGACCUGUACUUGUGUAUACAAAUAAACAGCUAAUUUAAGAGUA